Non-coding RNA from Taeniopygia guttata (zebra finch), 12257 nucleotides. The record is from RefSeq and is a predicted model, not a curated record. Lineage: Eukaryota; Metazoa; Chordata; Aves; Passeriformes; Estrildidae.
AUGGAGAAGGGAUGCUGGUUGUGUCAGAGUGCACAUUCCCGACCCUCCCUGACACGGCGCUGCUCCCGAAGCCUGUCAGUGCAGUGUCAACAUCUUUCCAUAGGAACUGCACCAGGAUCAGGCAGCUCUGAUCUUUAUUACUUCCUGAAAACAGUUGAUCUUUAAAGCUCAAACUAUAACUGCUGUCAGCUUAGCUCACAGCCUCCUUCUAUCGGUAUUUACAAGUUACAUUUUAUAUUGUAAAGAAGUCCAGGCUCAAGGGAGUUUGUCCACAAAGCAGACAGAUGGGAAUUAAAGCACAUUUUCCUCAAAUCUGCCUGAAAUCUAAACUUUUAUUAUUAGCCAUCCCCAGUGUGAUAAUAAACUCCAGUCCCUGACAGCAACAUAUGGAUCUCAUCUCCACUGUAGUCCAAUAUUACAAUAAUCCACAGUGACCUGAUAAACAGGCUCAAUCCAACAGAUUUUACUUCACCCUAUCAGUGAGAAAGUUAUGGUAUAUGACAGAAAUUCACAAAAAAAAAAACAAAACCACCAACCUGGAAUAUUUUGUGUUAUUUCCCACAACCCCCUACAACUCCCAAAUACGUGUGUCUGUAUUGUUCUAAGACACAAGGAGCUUGUUUUUCUUCUAAUUACACUGGUUUGAAGUAAUUAUUCUCAUUUAUUCUCUAUGUACAUGAGCAUAUCAAAAUAAGAAUUGACCCAGUAUCAAAUCUUCCCUGUUUUAGGAAUUAUUCCAACUGCUUGUUACACUGAAGGUCCAUGAGAGCCUGGGAGAAUGUAUCCACAUGCAGGCUUAUCUCUUCAUUUCAGACCAUUCAUCAUUCCUUGCCUGGAAGCAACAGUUAAUUUCCAACAACUCAAUGUCAAGAUGGCAGUUUAAAUCCUCUUGAGGAUUGCCCCAGGAGAAGAUUUUGUCCCAGUUCUUUUGCAGCCGCUGUAGAGUCAGCCUCUUUUGAUGUCACUCAGUUUUAGAGUGGGAUAGAAAUAAAGAAAGAGUGAAGAUCUACUGGUGACCAUCCCAACUCAAGGAAGGAUCAUCUCUCCAGAGGCUGCUCUUGGGAUUUCAACAGGGACAGAAAUUAAGAGUCAGAAUGGUUUAGGUUGGAAGGGGCUGUAAAGAUCACCCAUGUUCAUCCCUCCUGCCACCUCCCACUAUCCAGAAAGGAAAAACACGGCCUGCCAGAAAAUGCUGCAUGUCAUGGAGAGCAUUUCCUAGGGUUUAUCAUUUUCUCUGGAUAUAGAUUAGCACAAGUCUUGCAUGAAGUAGGAGAUACUUCCAAGUUAGAGUGGAGGAGAAGGACCUGAGCCAACACAACAGACUGGACCUUUCUGAAAUGUCACAUCACAACCAGACCUGUCCCCCAGACCUCCCAAACAGCAACCACAAUAAAAGUGCCAGAAAGAACGUCCAGAGCAGAGCAGAAUCUUGACAUCCCCUUCUCCCCUUUUCUGUCUCUUACAUUUAUUUGGAUUCAGCUUUAUCUCUUCAGCACGUUUUACUGGUGUCAGUGGCCCUUUUACCAAGGACAAUCUGCACUGAACAUUUUGGAAAGCAAUGAUUUAAGAAGCUGCAGGUAGCACAGCAAAGUGGCUGACGAGCCAUCUCUGGAAAUCAGAAGGUGUCUAAAGAGGGUGUUUACAAGCAGAAUGCUGCUAAAAGUCUGCCUUGGUUGCAGAUAACAAGGAUGAGACAAUGACAGAUUUCCUUCCCCUGGCAGCCAAGAGCAGCUCCCCGUGAUUGCCUUGCCGUGUUUAUCCAGGAUGCUGGGAGAGAGCAGGCACCAAAUAUGCAAUUAAUUGGCAGUUUGCAAGAGCAUAUUGCCUAAAGAUAAACAGAGUGGGUGAUCAUGUCGUAUGGAAAACGGCUGAGUGCUGCAGAUGUAGUGUUGACCCAGUUUAAAAAAAAAAAAAGAAGGUUUUUUUUGUUCUCUUGGAAAAUAAAUUUACUGAAAUGAAUACUUUUUUUCUUUUUGCAUGGUCCCUCUGGCCUUUGAAUAUUUUGUGUACGUAAGCCAUUCCAGGUUCUUUGUUAAUCUGGGAGUACAUAGUAAAUUAUGAAUUAGCUGUGAAGUUUUCCUGCUGACACCAGAGGAGCAGGGGGUACACUGUGACAUGGAGCUCAUGGCCUUCACUCUUCACAGAGGGGUUUUGUGAGCAGGAGAAGACACAAGUGGAUCGAAGUGGGAAUCAGGUGAUGUGGAAAGGAACGGAACUGCCCGGGUCAGUGGAUGUGGAGAUCAGGUCCAGAGGGAGGAAUGGUUUUUCACAGAACUGGGAAUCACAGAAUGGUUUGAGGUGGAAGGGACACCCCCACUCUCCCAGGCUGCUCCAAGCCCUGUCCAGCCUGGGCACUUCCAAGGCCGGGGCAGCCACAACUUCAGGGAGGAGCUGGACCAGGAUCAGGGGCUUGGCAAAUGGAGAGAGCUGUGAGCAGGAGGGACAGGCUCUGGUUUCCAAAUACAGAUAUUGUCAGACAAAAGUUGACAUGAAACCCAGAGUCAGGGAAGGAAGAAGAUAUGGGAGAAGACUGAAUGCUACAGAGGAGCUCAGGAUAGGAUACAGAGUGUGGAAAAUACGCUGAGGCUGGAAAGGGAAGGGGAAAAGCAACCUGAACGUGAUGCUGCUUGAGCUGGGAAGCUGGAGAGACAGAAGGGAUAUCUGUGACACCAUCAGGGCAGCAGCACAAAAGCUGUGGAUCAAGUGCGAGGCACAAAUGCUAAAGAGAGAAGCUCUCACUUUCAGGAGAUGGAAUUCAUUAGGAGGAAAGUCCUUGAUGCAGAAUUUCAGACUUAAUGUUCUGCAGCUCCUGUGCAACAGUAGCAGGCAAUGAAAAUCAGUGCCCUCACAGGACAAAAGCACACUCUCCUCUCUCUUUUUUUAUAUUCAGUGCUAUAAAACUCAAGCCCAAAGCAUGUGACAGAUCUCUCACUUCAUUUUACUGUGACCACACUGACCUUACCAGCACUGGUCAGAUCCAACAGGAAAACAAGUCAUGACCUGGCAACUUCUUUGCAAGGAUAAUGCACCGAGAUCCUAUCUGGCCUGACCAACGUGAUGACACCAAAAAUGCCUUUACAAGAAUUCCUGAUCCCAUGGGGAGAUUGUUACAGCAGGCUCGGACUUGUUGUGUUGCUGGAUCCUCUCCCUGUGCCCAGGCUCUGAACAGAGUGGAUGGGGUGCACUGCACACUCCACAGAAAAUUGCUGAUCCUGAUGGGAAUGGCUCAGCAGCCUUGAAGACUCUUUCUGCCUCAUCACUUUACCCUAGGAACAGACCAAGCUGGCACAGUGCUUGGGUCUACAAAGCACAGCAAGGUAACAGCACUGAAAAAACACUCCACAGGUGUUCCAGGCCAGGCUGGACAGGGCUUGGAGCAACCUGGGACCGUGGAAGGUGUCCCUGCCCGGCAGGGGCUGGGACUGGGUGAGAUUUAAGGUCCCAAAGCAUUCCCUGAUCCAGGAUUCUGCAGGGAUGUGUGUUUUGGGCAGGGUUGGGGUGGAGGGAGGGAAAGGGCAGCGAGAAGCAGCCAAACCCCAAGCAGGAGGUGUCCCUGGGGAGGGCAGGUGUAAAGCACUGAGACACCAUCCUUUGGCUGAUGCAAAACCUCAACCUGUUCCUUACCUUGUAACUUCUCUCUGAUAAUUCUGUGCCACUGUGGGCCCCUCAAUAAUCUGCCAUGUGGCUGCUUAAGGAAAGAGCUGUAUAAUUUACCUCUGAUUGUUUCAAACACUUGGCAGGCAACAAUAGAUAAAACUGACAGGACCUUCACAGUUAACAAUGCAACCUAAUGAAGUGAAAUACUGCUCAGAGAAAUAUUGUGACAGGUAUCCAUGGAUUCAAGUAAAGGAAAAGAUGUGGUGGGGUAGACUGGGCUCUGCAGUCCUUCAGCCCUGACUGUGAAGAGAAGUCAUCAGAUCUUCCUUCCCUCUGUCUCAAUUGUGUCAGGCUGGUCUUGUUACACAGCACUGAAUGCAAGUUUGUGAAAGCACAGAAGUUACAAAAUUUCCCAUAGAGGAGCUAAAAUGAGUUGAGCUCCAUUCUGCCACAUUUUCACAUUCCUGCAGCUGUUUCCAGCAGGAGUUCACCACUUGAAUGGCACGGGCCAUGGGGAGAAGCAAUGGGGGAAAGCCCUGGUCUUGGGCAAACACAGGAGCAGGGGAGAGCUGCCAGCAGGAGCAUUUGUGUGCAGUGUUCACAGGGACAGCAGCAUUUGUGUGCAGUGUUCACAGGGACAGCAGCAUUUGUGUGCAGUGUUCACAGGGACAGCAGCAUUUGUGUGCAGUGUUCACAGGGACAGCAGCAUUUGUGUGCAGGGUUCACAGGGACAGCACUGCAGGAGCUGGGCUCGGGGGCUCUGGCCCAGCUCACUCCCAAAGGCACUGGCAGGACAUGGAACCUCGGGAGGAAGAGUUAGUGCCACUGCACACAGCCACAGGCACUUUCUAGUUUCCUUUAUCGUACAAAUUGCAGCUCAGAGCCUGAAUUAUUCAGAGCAGACUCCAGUGACAGCUCCUUGGAGCAGGGGGGAUGCAGGCCCAGAUGGCGGCUGCAGUUUCCCCUGCGCAGGCGUAUCCCGACUCCCAGGGGCUGUGGCUGGACAAUUAGCACCAUUUGCUAAGCAGGCAGGAGGCAGCGAGGCGAGCACACCGUGCUGGGCAGGCAGAGGGGCUGGAACCCUCUGCCACCAGCCCCUCUCAGGACAGAGGAUGCUGCAGCCAGCCCACACUGGGAGGGGACAGAGCCCAGGAUGGAUUGGGCUGGUUGUCUGUGGUGUCACCACUGCCUGGGCUAAAGGAGACACUCCCAAGGUCUAAUGACCAAAAGCACUGUCAGGGAGCUGCUCCCUGCUGUGAUCUUCCUGUAGGCAAGGUGUGAUUUGUCUGGGUGUGCUGUGAGGAGGCUCUGUGCACAGAGCACAAUCAAUAACUUGAUGAUAAAUCUAUCUAUAUCUAUAUCUACACACAGCCCUGGUCACCCCUCACAACAAUGCUUCUGGCUGCUUGGUCACUCUCCAUGCUGCCAGCUUUGGCCACAAUGGAGAGAGACAUUAGGCUGCAGCCUUCCCAAAAAAUCAGGGGCAAGCAGAGCAUCUGGACUUUGAGGCAAGUUAAACGCUGGGAAUUCAUUUGGUUUCCAUGGUGAAGGACUUAGAAGUUUCACUUACCCUAGGAAGAAUGGGAGGUUUCCAUUUGCUGGCCUCAGGUAAAAGUAUAAAGAAAAUUACAUCAGGAUGGGAGUGGAGACAACUGACUGGGAGAAAACUACAGGAGAAAAUGAAGGGGGGAAAUGCUGCAGCUCCAGCAGCACUGCCUCAGUAACACCAGUGUGAUGCAUCCUGGCCACAUUUUUUUAUUACCUGUCCAACUCUUUUACACAACUCAAUAAAGGCCACCCUGACCUAUGAUGGGAAUGUGCUCCAGCAGCCCUGAGGAAACAAACAGGCAGAUCCCUGGGAAGGCAGGAGAAUGGAAUUGUGGCUGUGGAGGCACACAAGGCCACGCAGGGCUCAGAGCCCACUGGGACCCCUCGGGCCCAGGGGCAGAUUCUCUUCAUCCAUGGCCACACUCUGCCUCUGCACACAGCCAGUUUAUCUGCUCUGGACAAACCUCGAGAGGGAACAUUUUAAAAAGCAUCAGGUCUGCUCUCAGCUGUACCUCCCAGCACCAGGAUGCAGCAUUCCCCAAUAAUUUAAGCUAAAGCUGUUCAAGGAAAUGUGAGACGUGCCAGGCUCCGUAUUUCUAAUGGGAGCUGCCACUGCCAGCCCCGGAAAUCAGAUGGGAAGAAGUCCUCAGACAAGGAGACUGAUUAAAAAACAUAACUGACAAUGGCAAAUAGCUUAAAGGAUUUUAAAUCCCCAAAAUUAAAUCCAUCCUCAACCCAGAAAUAAAACAUACAGAACAUCUUUACUUUCACACAAGUCAAAGUUAAUUUAAAGGCAAGGCAAUACUGUAAAGGUCACAUGGAUCUUUCACGUAUCCAUAUAUCUGACAGCUCUGUUUUUGAACUGGAUUUGAAAUGAAUUUAAAAUUUACUGAUGCUUCUGAACUCAUUAAACUAGAACUUCACAGCAGAAGGCAAAUAGGGGCAACUGGAUCAGAUCAAACAUCAUUUUCUGGGUGGCAAGAGGGAAGAAUUCUCCUGCCUGGAGCACUGAAAAGAUACCAGGAAUUCUUUGGAGCAGCUGCCCCUCUGCCCUGCAGCCCAGGCACCAAAGGCUCUGCAAUGUGUCUCCACUGCCCCACCAUUCCCUGCAUGGCACAAACGUUCCCACCAGCAAUGGCAGCAGUUUUGUCUGUCAGUGUGUUGCUCUCUCUGGGUUAAGCAGAACUUAUGUUCCAUUCACAGAAGAAAAUCAUUCUCUGUGUGAGAAAACACACAACAGGCUCGAGUGUGACACUGUUGUUACCACACCCCAGCAAAGAUGAAAGAAACAAUAAUAAUAGUAACCAAAAGUUUAAAAACAUCUCUCUGCAUAUUUCACUAUGACAGAGAUUUGCAUGUUCAUCUCCAAAACUGGGUGAAAAGAGUCUUAAAAUAUUGUUUUUGCUAUUUUAACUGUAAAUACAGGAAGCUUUUUCUGUCUCUACCUACUCAAUGACACCAUUUCAAGACUUUUUUCUACAUUUUCGUUACACAGAAAGGGGAAAAAUAGAAGUAAGGAAAGAAAGUCCUGGCUUUUAACUAGUGAAAACUCAAAGUAGUCGAAGUUAUCUAAUAAUCCUAUGAAAGUGGGGGAUGUUAUUAGCAUGGAGUGAAUCAGAGGGGGUUCUGGAAAAGCUGCACAGGGCAAGUGACCCUGAGCUGUGGCUGGAGCCAGGGACAGUACUGAGAGGGAAUCUCUCUGAGCCAAGGUGUUUGAAGGCUGCAAACAACCUGGAUGUUCAGUUUGGUGACUCACAGCUUGUGGCAGCCCAUAAAGACCUUUGUGUGAUUAAUCUCUCAGAUACAGUCCCAAAAUCCAAGUUUCAAAGGCCCCUGGCUGCAGCAUUUGGGUCCCUGGGGAAUGAAGCCCCAAACCUGUCUCUCCUGAAGCUGUGCUGAAGCUGCCUGGUGUCAUCCAGGGGCUGUCCCUCACCAGGAGAACCAGGAGCUGUUCCCAGAAGCAGCUGGAGGGAUCAGGGCUCUGCAGCUCCUGCACUCAUUCCCUCCCAGCUCCCAGCCCGAGCUGGAGUUCACUGCAGCCUCCACAACACAGCCCACCAGUCCCGUGUCCUCCGGAUGUCAUUGAUAAAUACUAAAUGAAACCACUUGGAAAGAGGGAGAAAAAACCCAUCUCCAGUGUUUUGGAGCACCUUGAGAGGCCAACAGCAGUGGCAGGCCCAAAAGGAAAGGUCUGAGGGGCCGAGCUCUGGGACAGCAGCUUUGCAGGGUCACACAGACAGGUUUGCUGGCACUCCUGCUGCACUUGUUCACAUGUUCAACAUGCCUUGUUUCACUGGGAUGAGGGUGGAAGAAAACUGCUUCCCAUCAGUUUGCCUGUGUUUGGGCUCUGUGAAGUAUUAUUUCUUAGAGGAUGAGGCAGUUUAUUGGCCAGGGAUAUUUCAGGCGUGUUUAUUUUGUUGUUGUUGUGAAUUUGGAUUAGAGGCAUCUCCUUCCUCCCCACAAUUGCUGGCAGCAUGCUAUAAAGAUAUGAUUAAUUAAAGUGUGACUAUGAAUCCACUCAGAGGCUUAGAGUUUUCCUCCUCUUAAGACUAAACAGAGAAAGGGCCACUUUACGAAGUUCAGACCUUGAAGCAGAUUUCAAAGUACACUCAGUUUAGCUCAUCAGUUUAGCUCAGCACAACGAGGAGGUUCAACCUUCAAUAUUUAAAAGCUAUGAGCCCUUGGAGAGAAGAGACUUCUGCUUCUAUUCCAAUCCCAAACAUGGAAAUAAAUAAAUAAGAGCUAAAUAACCAAGCCAGGCUCAGAAAGGACUCCAGCAGCACGGCAGAAAUACCCUGCUCACAUGGGGGACUCCUCCUUAGCCUAAGUGACAUUUUUUUACCUUUGUAGCAGCUCAGCCAUGGAACGCACACAGUCCUGAGGCUUUAGAUUAAAACAACACAUUUUGGCUCUUGCUCUGCAAGAAGCCACUGGAAAUCCUGGAAGACCUUCAAAACUGAGCAGUGUAGUACUUGAAAAAGAGACACAGCUUGACUAAAUUGAAAAAUCUGAAUUUCCUAACAUGGACUUAAAAGGUGCUACUGAAUCUUUAAUGACUGCAAGACAGAGUUGGCUCAAUCUGAGCAGGGCUCAAGGUCUUCCUUUGAAGAAGUCAAACUUAAAAAAAAUAAAAUAAGAAAAAUGCCUGCUACAUUCUAAGGUCACAAAGGGUUCCAUGAAACUCUGCAUCUCUCCCAACUCCGACUUCCUAAGUGACAGUCACUUGUGAUUCCAGAGCACCCACUUCAACCCAGCAUAAUUAGCUGGGGAAGGAAAACACACCAGCCUGAAAGAUUCCUUCUCUAACAAGAGGUUGUGAGGGGCAGCGUGCUGCAGAAACAGAUGGAAAAUGGGGCGAUUUAUUUAUUUCAAGAGCACAGAAUUCCUAUUCAUUAAAUGAUACUUUCAAGCUGUUUGGUACCCACAGUUUUCUGACUGACGGAUGGCUCAGAGGGAAGGAUUGGGAGUGGGAAGCACAGGUUUUGUUGCUCAUGGUAUCCAUGGGGUCAUUCCCAGCCCUCUUUUCCAAGCUCUCACACUAAUUUCCCACCACCAGUAUUAUCUUCAGCCCCCACAGUCAGUUCCUCUGCAUCACUAAUUCUGUUUUAGACAAGACAAGGCUACAGUGAAGCACCUAAACAGAUGAGCUGUUAGGCAGAGCUGUAAAUUUACAUGGUGCAAGACCAAAAAUAUAAAUUGAAAAUUAAAUAUUUAAAGUUUAGAGGAGGGCAAAAAAUAGAUAAACUCUUUGAAAGAACAGCCAUUAUUAGAAAUUACAAAUCUGCAUGCUAAUUUAUGUGGUUACUAUUGACAUUUUCUUUCUAAUUCAGCUUUUAGCCCUUUUCUUGCAUGCAGAUAAAUUCUAGUUAAGAGCAUUGUGAUGUGCAGAAGGCUUAAUCCAACAGAAACCCCCUAAUAUGCAAUUUAAGGAUCUCAGGUUCAUUAAUAGUCCUAGGAGCAGCUUGUUUAACAGAUUAUUUCAUGGGGCUGAGUCCAUCUGAGACAGUGGGGACAGGAAUUGCCUUCCCACAGACACCCUUUGGAAUGUCCAGGCUCUGUCCAGGGGAUGGAGCUCAUUCCAAGGGCAUUCUCCACCCUCAGUCCAUUUACUGGACAGGUAAAAACUGCAGAAUCCUGGAGAGCUCUGUUUCCCUGCAAUCCCAGCAUGAGCUGUCCUGUCUGCAGGCAUUUCCCUCAGAAAAUGAAAUGAAUACCCAAGCACUCUGCUUCUCAUCAGCCAUCGAUUCACCUACUGGCAGUUUCAGUAAUAAAUUAGAUCAAUGUAAUUAUUGUAUGUGCACACAGAUGUCAAAUCACAAUCACUGUGAUCAGAUCAUCUGGGUGUUUCCUAGAAAAACAGUAUUUAUCCAUACUUGGUGGGGGAGAGAAGGUUCAUCUGCCCAUCCAGAACCCAAAAGAGACAAGCUUCCCAAUGAGGUUUUGAUGCUGUAUUUCAUGGACUAAAUUCUGAAAAUAAUUUACUCUGGGAAACGAACGUAUUAUGUUUCUAGUUCUGUGCUCUAUCCAACCACUUUCUCCUCAAUAGAUCCAACUAUCAGAAAGGCCAAAAAUUCCCCAAACUCUAUAGCUUUCAAUGUCCUGGAACAAGUCAAUAUUUUGUGGGCACAAUGCCCAUCUCUGGUGUUGACAGACAGCAGCUGAGCUGCAACAGAGACCCCAGAGGAAAGCACCAAGACCCCCAGAGAACAAACCCUGUCCCCAGGCCAAGAUACCCCCACAACAGGCAGCCAGACAUCCUUGCCCUGCUCCCCCAUGAACCUCCCUGCUCUCAGACCUGCACUGGGAUCCUCUGGGAAGCAGAAGAGACCUGUGGGGUGCUUGGCUCCUCCAGCACAUCCUCCAGGCAGGGUGAGGGCUGGCAGCUCUCCCUGCUUCUGCAGGAGCCUGCUCUGACUGACACCUGCUGCAGGUGAGUGCCCAGUGCCUGGGUGCUGCAUCUCCCCACCUCAUCUCCUGUUUACCUGUCAAUUAUCCACCUUAAAUUCUUCCACCUCCCCCCUGUUGACACCUGGGGAGCACAGGGUUAUGAAAUGCAGGCUCUGUUAUCUGUCAGCGCCCCAGAUAUCAGCAGUGCCUGUGCUCCAGGCUCCUGCAGCAGCUCAGGACUCUCCCGAGGCAGAGCAGCUCCCCAGCUCUGACUCGGGGUGCCGGGGCUGUGUUCAGAUCACACACCAGGGCCUCUCAGAGCCGUCCCGAGGAGCAGCCACCAGGGCCCGAGCCUACUUUGCUGCCUCCAAUUUAGCUUGUUAACCAUUCCCAAAAAUGACUAUAUUUUAAUUACUGUUUUCUGAGAAUUGGGAUUAUUUUCCUUCUAAAUAUAUUCGUCUGAUUAUCUCCAGGAUGAAAUUCAUUUGGUUAAUUACCAUCUUUUUAAUUUGUUUAAGACUGUGUUUCAGUUUCCUGUGCUGUAACACCUCCCUGCCAGCUCUGCCUGCAUUUAUUCAGUGUCUGAUAGAUUCCCAUCUCAGGGAACAAACAGAAGGUUUCCAUAAAAAACAUGCAGUGCCCCAAGCCUUGCAGGCAGCCAGGGAUCCCACCUGAAAUCCAGGGGAAGCAUUCAAAUGUGGAAACAUCUCAGCCUCCAAUUCUACUUCCAAUCAAUGCACUCAAUCCAAGCCCCUCAUGUAACGUCUCAUUCAUCAGCCAAACCACAGCGGUUUGUACCUGGAUCAUUCUAUUGUCAUCUUCUUACUACCCCAAAACAGCAAUAGACAAAUUCCAAUUUCAUUACCAAGAUCUUGAUUCCAGUCACUGAUGCAUUUACUGGAAGAACCCAAAGGUAAUUUUAUUUCCAGUUUCCUAGACUGUCCCAAUAAUAAAAAAUAAAACCUUCCGUGGGUAAUGCAAACGAGACCAAUGGAGACAUUAGGAGAAAUUUCAGAUAUUCUUAAGCCAAUAGAAACCCCACCCACAGGGAAAGGUCAUGACACCUGGUUAAAUUAUAUACAUGGGCUUGAACAGCAGGAACUCCAGGAGAGCAUCCAAAAGCUUGGGAAAAGAUGUUUACAUGGAGAACAGUGACUGUCCCAGCUGGGUGGACAAGGACCUUCCUCUCCCCAGGAGCUCAGCCAGGCUGAUUCCCACCUCAGUUUGCAGGGAUUCUGCACAGCAGCUCAGGAGGCUCUGCCAGGGCUGCCUCGAGUCCCUGGCUGUGCCCCAGCACAGCCCCUGGGCUGCCCCAGCCUCAGCUGCACCCACGUUUCUUUUCCAUGCCAACAUAUUUCCAUCUUACUCAGAAAGCUGUUUGUCCCUUAAUAGGGCACAUUUUCCAACCAGCUUUGUUGUUCUGCAAAUUAUGGGCUUUAAAGAAUUAAUGGUGGAAUAUAAAUCAAUUUAGUUCACUGAGAGAGUGUGUGUUUUAUGUGGUAGAGGUUUUCAAAGAAAAGUAAUUAGUUGAUUUGGCAUUUUAAUCUUCAGAAAAAUAAAGAAGCUAUUUUUCUCCUAAGAGGAUGUGUUUGAACACAUAAACAUAUGCUGCAUUUUCUGAAACUAUAUUAAGAAAUAUUAUUUAUUGGUUAGAUGUGGCUGAUAACUAUUUCUAUUGUCUCAGGAAGAUUCUUUGCGAUAAAGAUUUCACUACAGGGACUGCAUUUCACUUUCCAAAAUGCCUGACCAAAGGCUUUGAAAAAAAAAGCCAGAGAGGUCCGGUUUGUUUGUCUCCCAGGAAUGUCCCUUUCCCAGGGAUGCUCUUUUCUCCCUUCUCUGUUUUGUGGAGAUUCCAUGGCCACAGGGCUGACGUGUCCCAGCAGCUCAUCCCUCCAUAGCUGUGCCAGGCACUGUCCAUCAGCAGCAAACAGGCACCAGGGAGGCUCAGAUCCUGCUCUGGUGCCCGUGUGUGUGUGUGUGUGUGUGUGUGUGUGUGUGUGUGUGUGUGUGUGUGAGUGAGUGAGGAGAACUCAGGCAGAGCUGGGCUGAUGGGGAGCAGCAGCCCCCUCCCGGGGACUAUUGCAUAAGAUGCCUCUGCUUUGCAGUUUGUUCUCUCCCUGGCUGCAGCCCGAGUGUCUGAAGCCAAAGGGCUGUUUUGUGCUUUGGGAGAGAAUAAGCCUGUCCCACUGGUGAGUGUCAUUUGCCCUCUCCAUGUCUGUGCCACA